This 253-nucleotide ribosomal RNA is filed under the name uncultured bacterium. Its description in RNAcentral is "partial 16S ribosomal RNA". It matches the Rfam family "Bacterial small subunit ribosomal RNA", at positions 524 to 776 of the family's 1533-position model. The record is from RNAcentral.
UACGUAGGCAGCAAGCGUUGUUCGGAAUUACUGGGCGUAAAGAGUGUGUAGGCGGUGUCGUAAGUUUGGCGUGAAAUCUCCCGGCUUAACUGGGUGGGUGCGCCGAAGACUGCGAUGCUUGAGGAUUGGAGAGGAAAGUGGAAUUUCUGGUGUAGCGGUGAAAUGCGUAGAUAUCAGAAGGAACACCUGUGGUGUAGACGGCUUUCUGGACAAUUCCUGACGCUGAGACACGAAAGCGUGGGUAGCAAACAGG